Echinostoma caproni is the source of this 44-nucleotide non-coding RNA. NCBI's taxonomy places the organism in Eukaryota, Metazoa, Platyhelminthes, Trematoda, Plagiorchiida, Echinostomatidae. The record is from Rfam.
GGGUGCUGAUGAGACCCAACCAGGUCGAAACAAAUGUCCAGCGC